GAUGAAGAACGUAGCGAAAUGCGAUAAGUAAUGUGAAUUGCAGAAUUCAGUGAAUCAUCGAAUCUUUGAACGUACAUUGCGCCCGCCAGUAUUCUGGCGGGCAUGCCUGUUCGAGCGUCAUUUCAACCAUCAAGCCCCAGGCUUGUGUUGGGGACCUGCGGCUGCCGCAGGCCCUGAAAACCAGUGGCGGGCUCGCUGUCACACCGGGCGUAGUAGAUUUUAUCUCGCUCAGGGCGUGCUGCGGGUUCCGGCCGUUAAAAAGCCUUUUUUACCCAAGGUUGACCUCGGAUCAGGUAGGAAGACCCGCUGAACUUAAGCAUAUCAAUAAGCGGAGGA
RNAcentral lists this unclassified non-coding RNA (336 nucleotides) under soil metagenome. RNAcentral describes it as "partial contains 5.8S ribosomal RNA, internal transcribed spacer 2, and large subunit ribosomal RNA". The stretch from base 1 to 120 matches the Rfam family "5.8S ribosomal RNA", at positions 35 to 154 of the family's 154-position model. The record is from RNAcentral.